This 116-nucleotide small RNA is filed under the name Marmota monax (woodchuck). Lineage: Eukaryota; Metazoa; Chordata; Mammalia; Rodentia; Sciuridae. The record is from RNAcentral.
GCUGGGCUUGGUGGUCCAUGCCUGUAGUCCUACCACUUGGUAGACUUAGGCAGGAGAAUCCUUUGAGUCCAGGAGUUUGAGACUAGCCUGGGCAACAUAGUGAGACCCUGUCUCAA